Molecule: ribosomal RNA, 869 nt
Filed under: uncultured Planctomycetaceae bacterium
Lineage: Bacteria; Pseudomonadati; Planctomycetota; Planctomycetia; Planctomycetales; Planctomycetaceae
Description: bacterial SSU rRNA
Rfam family: Bacterial small subunit ribosomal RNA
Source: RNAcentral
CAAGUCGAGGGAAUCCCAGCAAUGGGGGAACCGGCGUAAGGGGCAGUAAGGCAUGGGUACCUACCCUGAAGUUCGGGAUAGCCAUCAGAGAUGGUGGGUAAUACCGGAUGAUGUCGAGAGACCAAAGAUUUAUCGCUUUGGGAGGGGCCCAUGUGAUAUUAGCUAGUUGGUGAGGUAACGGCUCACCAAGGCAAAGAUGUCUAGCGGGUAUGAGAGUACGACCCGCGCCACUCGCACUGAGACACUGGCGAGACACCUACGGGUGGCUGCAGUCGAGGAUCUUCGUCAAUGGGCGAAAGCCUGAACGAGCGAUGCCGCGUGCGCGAUGAAGGCCUUCGGGUUGUAAAGCGCUUUAGUGGGGGAGAAAAGGGUAAAACUUUGAUCUAUCCCAAAAAUAAGCUCGGGCUAAGUUCGUGCCAGCAGCCGCGGUAAGACGAACCGAGCGAACGUUGUUCGGAAUCACUGGGCUUAAAGGGCGCGUAGGCGGGCUGUCAAGUCUGGGGUGAAAUCCCACGGCUCAACCGUGGAACUGCCUUAGAUACUGACGGCCUCGAGGGAGAUAGGGGCGAGCGGAACUGUGAGUGGAGCGGUGAAAUGCGUUGAUAUUCACAGGAACUCCGGUGGCGAAGGCGGCUCGCUGGAUCUUUUCUGACGCUGAGGCGCGAAAGCUAGGGGAGCAAACGGGAUUAGAUACCCCGGUAGUCCUAGCCCUAAACGUUGGGUACUGGGUAGUAGACUAGACAUGGGUUUACUGCCGCAGCAAAAGUGCUAAGUACCCCGCCUGGGGAGUAUGGUCGCAAGGCUGAAACUCAAAGGAAUUGACGGGGGCUCACACAAGCGGUGGAGCAUCUGGCUUAAUUCGAGGCUAC